This 106-nucleotide ribosomal RNA is filed under the name Pteropus alecto (black flying fox). The record is from RNAcentral. Lineage: Eukaryota; Metazoa; Chordata; Mammalia; Chiroptera; Pteropodidae. RNAcentral also lists the same sequence under 1 other name.
GUCUAUGGCCAUGCCACCCUGAACAAGCCUGAUCCCGGCUGAUCGCGGAAGCUAAGCAGGGUUGGGCCUGAUUAGUACUUGGAUGGGAGACCAGGUGCUGUAGGCG